GUGACAAGACCUGUUCCUAUAGGAAACGGAGGCAUUAGGAAUCCAUAUUAGAGGUCUUAGUUGAAUAGUAGAUCAGCACACCCAUGAAGUGUGCCGUGAGAAUGAACAGUAACAACCGUAGGUAAGUAGUUACUACUAUAUGUCUAGACUUAGGAUCUUAAGAGUUUUAUUGGUAUAUCUUCAUUAAAAUUUCCAUCUCUCAAAGUAAAUUGAGAUACCAAACUGUUCUAAAUGGAGCAGGAUCAACGAGCACAUUCCUAGGGCAGCCUCAAUUUUGGGCUUCCAUAAUCAUGAUC
This 296-nucleotide long non-coding RNA is filed under the name Oryza brachyantha (malo sina). RNAcentral describes it as "long non-coding RNA (OBRA_LNC001821)". The record is from RNAcentral. Lineage: Eukaryota; Viridiplantae; Streptophyta; Magnoliopsida; Poales; Poaceae.